CGCCUACGGGACGCAGCAGUGAGGAAUAUUGGUCAAUGGGCGGAAGCCUGAACCAGCCAAGUCGCGUGAGGGAAGAAGGCCCUGCGGGUCGCAGACCUCUUUGGACGGGGAGCAAGGCCGCCGACGUGUCGGCGGAAGGAGAGUACCCGUAGAACAAGCAUCGGCUAACUCCGUGCCAGCAGCCGCGGUAAUACGGAGGAUGCGAGCGUUAUCCGGAUUUACUGGGUGUAAAGGGAGCGCAGACGGCAGUGCAAGUCUGGAGUGAAAGCCCGGGGCCCAACCCCGGAACUGCUCUGGAAACUGUG
Molecule: ribosomal RNA, 305 nt
Filed under: uncultured bacterium
Lineage: Bacteria
Description: bacterial SSU rRNA
Rfam family: Bacterial small subunit ribosomal RNA
Source: RNAcentral